GCGCGUCUGAUUUGAUGCUUGCAUUGAAUGACAAGAUGAGCGGCGGACGGGUGAGUAACAGCGUGGGUAACCUGCCCUAUACACAUGGAUAACAUACUGAAAAGUUUACUAAUACAUGAUAAUAUAUAUUUACGGCAUCGUAGAUAUAUCAAAGUGUUAGCGGUAUAGGAUGGACCCGCGUCUGAUUAGCUAGUUGGUGAGAUAACUGCCCACCAAGGCGACGAUCAGUAGCCGACCUGAGAGGGUGAUCGGCCACAUUGGAACUGAGACACGGUCCAAACUCCUACGGGAGGCAGCAGUGGGGAAUAUUGCACAAUGGGCGCAAGCCUGAUGCAGCGACGCCGCGUGAUCUUAGAAGGCCUUCGGGCUUGUACAAAUCUUUAUACGGGAUGAAAAUGACAGUACCGUAAGACAUAAGGUCCGGCUAAAUACGUGCCAGCAGCCGCGGUAAUCACGUAUGGACCGAGCGUAGCUCCGGAAUCAUUGGGCGUACCGGGUACCGUAGGGCGGCCUAGUAAAGUUUCAGAAAGCUUCAAGGACAGUAUAAG
RNAcentral lists this ribosomal RNA (548 nucleotides) under uncultured Clostridia bacterium. RNAcentral describes it as "bacterial SSU rRNA". It matches the Rfam family "Bacterial small subunit ribosomal RNA", at positions 64 to 618 of the family's 1533-position model. The record is from RNAcentral. Lineage: Bacteria; Bacillati; Bacillota; Clostridia.